AUUGAACGCUGGCGGCAGGCCUAACACAUGCAAGUCGAACGAGUGGCGGACGGGUGAGUAAUGUCUGGGAAACUGCCUGAUGGAGGGGGAUAACUACUGGAAACGGUAGCUAAUACCGCAUACCAUCGGAUGUGCCCAGAUGGGAUUAGCUAGUAGGUGGGGUAAAGGCUCACCUAGGCGACGAUCCCUAGCUGGCCUGAGAGGAUGACGAGCCAAACUGGAACUGGAACACGGUCAUAACGCCUAGGGAAGGAAGCGGUGGGGAAUAUUGCACAGUGGGGGAAAGCUGGAUGAAGCAAGGCCGCGUGUAUGUAGAAGGCCUUCGGGUGGUAAAAUACUUUCAGCGGGAAGGCGUUACCCGCAGAGAAAGCACCGGCUAACUCCGUGCCAGCAGCCGCGGUAAUUC
Molecule: ribosomal RNA, 406 nt
Filed under: uncultured bacterium
Lineage: Bacteria
Description: partial 16S ribosomal RNA
Rfam family: Bacterial small subunit ribosomal RNA
Source: RNAcentral